Physeter macrocephalus (sperm whale) is the source of this 276-nucleotide long non-coding RNA. RefSeq lists it as uncharacterized. The transcript has 3 exons. The record is from RefSeq and is a predicted model, not a curated record. Lineage: Eukaryota; Metazoa; Chordata; Mammalia; Artiodactyla; Physeteridae.
GUGAAGCCCUAACAAAGACUGACCUCUGGCUCCAGAAGGGAGCUUGCCUGGCCCUGAAAAGCCUGAAGGCUACUGAAAGCAUUAAAAUGCUGGUGACAUUGUGUCAGUCUGAUACUGAAGAAAUCAGAAAUGUGGCCUCAGAAACUCUCUUAUCUCUUGAUGUGGCUCCCCAGAGCCCCCAGAGCCCGCCAUACCACCGGUUCCUGAUUCUCAACACUAGAUGCCCAUUGGAAUCACCAGGGAACCUUUAAAAUACACCUGUACCUGGGCUCCACU